CAUUUUGUGAGCGAUCGGAGCUCGGCCGGUGCUCGCGGGCUGCCUUUCCUGGACCUUGGCAGCUCCUUGCUGACUGGAAGGACCAGGAUUUUCAGUGUGGCAUAGGAUAGGCUGACACCUCACAGCCAAAAAUGACAUCGUUGCCUGUGAAAUUCUGGACAUCUUGGGGUGGCAUAGAAAUCACAGGAGCUGCAAAGACCCAACAGUAUUGCUUUAGGAGACCGUGAGCGAAAGCCAACACAAAAGGAUGUAACACCAGCCCUUGUUUUAGAUGAAAGGUGCCCAGAGUAAUAAUGUAAAGAAUGAGAGCAGCACAUGAGCAGGAGGCAGUAUUCCCUCUUACAGCCUGACAAGUCCUUUCACUAACAGUCACCACGGAGGGGCAUUUAUUCACUAAAUGUACCACCAUGGUCAGAAAAAGGAAGAAACUCAAAGCUGCAAAGAGCAGGAAGUCAAUCUGCAGGAGCUGCAACGGAGAAAUGUGCAACUCCUGGAGAAAGCUGAUAGGUGCUGAAAGUCGUCCCGAAACCCUUUCACUGCAAGAGGUUGCAAGAGGUCCUAGGAGGUGGGAGACCUGACAGCUGACAGUAGCCUCAGGUGAGUUCCUAAAUAACUGACUGCCCCUCAGAUGCUGUCUCUCUGGAGCUUCACAAGGGGUUUAAAGGAGAUUUAGUUUUUGUCUCAGAGUGGCGGGAAUGCAUGUGCCAGAAGCCAUAUUUCUGGAAAGGAGAAUUCCUCUAUGUCCACUGUCUGAGUAAACUGACAAACAAAAAUAAAGCAGAAAAUCACAUGGGUAAGGCUCUAAACAAAAACAUACAUGAUUACAGCAGAAUUUAAUUAUUGUCAGAUCUUUCAUAGAGAUGUUGAAGUUUAUAAAUUCCCUCACCUUCAUAGAUGGACACAUUCUCCUGCCCCAUGUAGGCAUGUGUGCACCACACAUUCAAGAUAACUGGAUGCAUAGAAAGGAGAGCAGCCUUGGCUACUAGCUAAUUUUAAAAGAACUCAACCUUUUAAGCUGGGGCAUGCUAUUGAAAGCUUAAAGCAUGCUCACCACUCUACACAAGCAUUACAGACUGUUCUUUGAAUAGUGAAAUGCACAGAGCCAACGUACCACCAAAGUAGGGCCUGAGGUAUUUGUUGUAUCCCAUUGUGAGGUUCUUAAAUCCAGGGAGGGAUGCUGCAUCACUGCCACCCAAACUGGACACACGUCCAAGUGAGCAUUUCCUGAGGACACAAAUAAUGUACUGCUAAGUAUGUGGCCAGGCAUGCUGGGCACAUCAGGGGUGCAGCUGCAUCCCCAGCCUGUGCUCAAAGAAGCAAAUUACUUAAAAUAGUUAUUUGAAAAAGUACAUCAUUGAAAUAAUGAACACUUACUGACACUGCUUACCUUGGCUGAAUAAUUAAUACCUUAGAGAGGUGGGAAUACAGCAAAUAGCCUGAACAAAUAAUCUCAGGUUUCCAGACAGUGGCUUAAGGACAUUCUUAAAAGGCAAAUCAAGCAAGGGCAAUAUAUCACAAAGCUUAAUAGUAACCUGUAAUCUCCCCUUCUCAUUCCUCCUCGUAAAAUGUAUACAAGGAACCUUUUUCCUCCUACAUACAAUAACCCAGGACAACUCUUACUGCCCAACAGCUCCUCCUUCUUAAUUAUCAUUCCCAUAAGCAAGCUUUCAUCCUUAUUUGUUAGCAUCGGGCAGCAUCCCAACAGCUGCCAGAGUAAAGCCUCUAAGAAUGCCAAGAAGUGGAGAGGUAAAACAGCGAGCUCUUCACAGACAGCAAGGCAGCACCGUGAGCAGGACUACCACUCCAAAUUACCACUACAUAUCAAAAUUAACAUUUUCUGUACUGAAGAUACAGCAGAUAUGUGGCACUGUGAGGUUCCCAGAGCUGUGCCAUCCUGUAAAUAGAAAGCUACAGAGUUUGGGGGCCAUAAAAAAGGUGCCAUGGUGCAGUGUGCUUGUGGAGGCAUGUGUUCACUUGAUGAAAAAGUGAGUGAGCCAUUAUGAGUUUGAUACUGCUCUGUGAAGGGCUGAAGGAGGUGCUGCCUCUCUCCAGAGACUCAGGACUGCUGGCCUGUCCUUUAAAGCUGGGUUAAUAGUCCUUGGACGCUUGCUGAAGAUUUUAGAUCAAAAAGAAGCUUACAGCAGAACUGAGCAGUUAUUGUGCAGCAUUAGCUAUAUUAGAGCCUUUAGAACUUGACUGCAGUCAGGGAUGGCAGUAACAGCUGGAAGAAAUGGGGUGGAAGAGGACAGUGAGCAAAACCACCACAAUUUCCUGCUCUUGAACAGAGAAAAAGAGCUUGCAUUAUCAAUGUACAUUAUAUUUUGGGAACCUGUGCAGGUUGCUCCCUCUGCCUGACCCCUUAAUGCACCCAACUUCCUAUGAGUGAGCUGUAAAACUGGAAGCAUUGUUUCCUUUUGAUCCACAUUACUUAUGUUAAUCAGAAUUCAGAUGACCUGUAAAGCAAAACAAACGCUCUACUUGCCUUUGUGUUUGAAGGAAAAGACACAGACUGAAGAAGCAGAAAUAUCUGCAGAACAUCUCCGGAGAUUAUUUCAGUAUUUGCUCUGCUCUUCUGUGAAAGAAAAGGAGAUUUUUGUGAUUUAAGGAAAACUAUUUGCUUAGGAACAUGAUUUUGUGGAGGGCUGUUAGAGUUAGGGGUAGUAUGGUUGGGUUGCGGUUGGACUUGAUGACCUUUAAGGUCUUUUCCAACCUGAGCAAUUCUAUGAUUCUAUUUUAGGUGAAGGGGCUGAAAAAGAAGUGCUGCACAGAGUCAGAAUCCCACACAGCAAUGUUUAACAUCCUCAACACACAGUGACACCUGUUUUUUCCUUCUAGCUCAAAUCAUUUUUCAGCACCAUGCUAUGUUUGCACUUUCCUCAUAAAAGAUACUCCGUUCCAAAAGUCCUUUUGCAAGCUCACCAGACUUUGGUUACCACUGUUGCACUCCAUUAGCUUGUACCUGAAGCAGCCCAUGCUAUUAGUAGUAGUAGCAUUGGUGAGUCACUCAGCAUGCAGCACUGGAUGAAAUCAUUCUACUUCAAAUGGGUUUCGUUGACCUUUCUGGGAGUGGAACCAACUCCUGGAUUCUGGCCUGGAACUCCCACAGGCUCAUGAUGGUGCCACAAUGGGCAACUCUGUCCAUGCUCUGCAUCCCUGCUCUCUGCCUGAAAGGCUGCAUCAACUGCACACCUUUAUUGGGGGUAUGGAUAACUGCCACACAACUGUGUGCUCUCACAGCAAGCUGCUGCUGCAACAGGAAGGCACAUGAAGGCACAGCUGCCAAGGGGGAACUGCCACUGACCAUCACUAGUUUGAGCUGGAAAUACAACACUGCUUGACCACUAGACUGUUCAAAGUGUACCUCAAUGUAUCAGUUUUCCUACAGGUAGUGGCAAAGCAACAUCAUUCUUAGAUGUAAGUUUUCCUGUCCGUCAGACUGUCACAAAUUGGGAAUGGCUGUACGAAUCAUCAGUCCCUGAGCCCUGACUUGCACAACUGUGAAUGAGCACUUCAACUUCAAACGUGGCUACUCCAUAGUAACCCACCGGUUAGGAAUUUUCCUGCUUGGGUCAGAGCCUUUCUGCAGUAGCUCAACACAGCCCAGAGGACACUGUGCCUUCUCAGGUAACUGUACAGCUCUGGUGCAGUGGAACAGUCGUGCUCCAGGCAGCAGGGACAUCUUUGUCUAUACACAGCCAGUGAUAAUACCUGAACGUUCAAAGCACCACGAAUGCAGGGCCAGACAACAAGAAUCCCACUGGAGAAAGGCAGGAUAUAUUUCAAAGUAAAAUAUGCUCUCAUAUCUGCCUAACAUCUGAAUUCCCAACAAGUGUUUGCGCUUUUUGUCCUAACAUGGUGUUCAGAUGUUUCCAGAUGUUCCCAACAGCUCCUCAGUACCAUGUAAUCAUAGAGGGCUAGAGAGAUUAAUCAUCUACCUGUUCACACAGCAUUAGACCACAAUUUUGAUGAGAAAAGAAGGAUCAGUGCAGUAAAGUAAGAAAGGGUGAUUUAACAAACCAGCAUGUGAUUAAGUAUAAAAACUGAUAAAUUUCAGCUGAGGAACCCUUCAUGGACAACCCUCAUGAGCAUCCAUUUUGCAAAGGAGUUGCAAUUCCUAGCAUUUUGGUGCAUCCGUUUCUGAAUUUCAUUCUGUCUGUCUAUCCCAGUUACUGAGACCUUGUUUUGAAAAAAAACAAGUCAAAUUCUAUUUGUUUUGAUGACUAAUGCACAGAGGCCUCUUAUGUAGUAAAAAGCAUUCCUGUAAAGCCUUGUUUAUGGCUCUUGUUAACUGAAAUGCACACUGCAACGUGUGUUACUUCUAUCUAGCGAAGACAGUAGAUUGAAACAAACCAAACCAACCUGGAUAAAUCUCUAACUGCUGCUUCCACAAACCCGAAUGAACUCCACAGUCCUGUUUUCCUCCUUCCAAACACGGCUGUGAAGACAAGUAUAUCAAGAGUUGGGAAGCAGUGAUCUGUUAGUAUCCAAGAGAGCUAGAAACUCAAUGUGCCAGAGCACUCACAAGGCCAGAAAAGGGUGACAUCUGUGCCUAAAACUGAAUAUCACAAAAGCAGUUUUCAGCUAUGUACUGAAAUAUAGAGAGAGAAGUGCCAAAACUGUGAGACUAUGCUUUUUGUGGAAGCCUAAGAAUUAUACUGUAUCAGGAAGCAGAACUACAAUUCUGCUUUUAUAGUUCAGAAGCUUUCAUCAGAGAUUACUAACUUCAUUACUACAGUAUGCUGGGAAGGAACAGUUUUAAGAUUGUGCAUUUAUGCUUCUCUAUUUAGUAAAGGAUUACAAUGGACUUUUAACAGAAAAAGAAACUUAGACACUGUUUAAUCUUGACAUUUUGUAUGUAAUAGCACAGCACAGGCAAUACCAGUAGUUGUGAAAGCUUUGCUUCCAGCACCAAUGUUACCUAAAAUCAUUUAUUGCAUAUGUUUAUUGCAUAUGCUCAGAAAUAAAGAAAGCCUUGAGAACUUAACAGCUCACCCAGCUCCAUGCUCUUCCUACUGACAGGGAAUUAUUCAAAGAUGCAAGUAUUACAGCAAAACAUGCAAGCAGACUCCUCAGGAGUUAAGCCUCCAUCUGCUUCCAUAGAAGAUCAUGAAAUAAUGCUUAUUUACACCAGCCAAGACCAUAUGUAUAAGCCUCCACUAUUACUCAGUUCUAUGUUCCUUAAUUCUAGCGCAUCCCUUUAAUCUGGAAGGGCUGGUAAGAGUGAAAACCCAAAAGGAGAAAUAUGAUAGUAGAGAGGUGUACACUGACACCUGGUGGAGCCCGGAUAGCUUUGCACUGCCGUCAGCAUCACCCACAGCAAUCCACUCCUCAUCAAGCAGAUACACAGCAAGGGAAACAGAAAGCUCUACAGGCCCACACUACCUCCCACUUCACAGGUGAAAGCCCCAUCUGUGCCUCACUGCACAGAGCAGAAGAUCAGCACAUUCUCUGAUGUUCUCAGGGCAAAUGACAUCCCAAAGCCAGGCAGAAGGAGCUGUUGCAAGAAUCUGAAAAACCAGCUAUAAGAGCAGACCCACAGGAGGAGUCAGUGAGCUGCAGGCAGUAAUAGUGGCUGAGGGAAUUGGGAUGGAAAGCAUCAUGACACCCUCACUGGAGUUUCCAGCUUCGUGACGCUGCACCAUCCCAUGCCGAGCUUUCUUUGGCCACCUCUGUGAUUGCAGUUGCUAAAUACAAUUACAAAUCCAUGAAAGAAGAAGAGCAUUGUGGAUUUUGGGAUCAAACUUAACAGGCUCUGUAGAAGCCAAGAUAUUACAUCCAGGUGAGCAAGUUUAUUUACAAGAGGUUUGAGUGACUGAAGCCUAACAAUCUGCCUUUAAAAAAAAAAUAGUACUUCUUCCCCUGCCCACUCUGAAUUAUGGGCAGCUGUCUGAUCUUGGAUAAUUAGUCUGGGGAUGUGGGUGGGAAGGGAAUUUUGUAUGGAAGGGUUCAUGGCACAACCUGCUCUUGGCAUAGCUGCAGCCAACAAGCUGUAUAUUUUGAUGAUUAUGACAGCUGUUCAAAUUUUAAUUUACUGGCCAGACAAGUCAUGAAAGUUUUAUUUUCAGUUCAUUCAAAAUGAUUUGCCUGUCAAGUACCUCAAAUUUAGAGUUAACUUGAAAUUAUUUCUUUUUUCUUUUUUUUUUUUUUAAUGUUGCCCAGAGAUGAGGUGGAUGCCCUGGCCUUGGAGACACUCGAGGUCAGGCUGGAUGGGGCUCUGAGCACCUGAUGUAGUGUACGUGUCCCUAUUCAUUGCAGGGAGUUGGAUGAGAUGACCUUUAAGGUUACCUCCCAGCUCAAAUGGUUCUGUCAUUCUAUGUUAAAUAUCUAUUUUGUCAGGCCAGAAGAAAACGUGGAGCUACUACAAGGAAGAGAAAAAUUAAACAAGACAAUGUGCCACAUAUUUCUGCAAGCCACUCCUACUGGAAACCUUACAGAUUUGAUGCUAAAAAUCAACGUAUACAGAAUUAACCUUAUUUUUACAGAACUAAGUAGUUAAUGAGGUCCUGUUGUGUGUCAACAGAUACAUAAGCUCAGCCCUCAGCUGAUCAGGACCAAAGGCAACAUCAGAUGUGGAUGCAGGGAAAGGGGAUGAGACAUGGAGCAGCACCACACAAACUGGUAAUACCAAAAUGAGUUGUCUGAAUUUUUAACUUUGAUUUUUUUUUUUUUUUUGCUUUAAUAUUUUUUAACUAAAGGCAGAGAGAAGACUUCUAAGUCUGCUAACAAAGCACACUGCCAUGAAGCCUUUCCUAUUUUAGCCUUCUGUCCAAAUCUCAAAUUCAUUUCAUUUUUUUUUUCUAAACAAAACACUUAAUUUUUUCUCCUUUGAUUUCCCUGUUUGAAGAACUCAAAUUUCAGCCUGCUUGUCUGAUAACAGGACAAAUGAAGGAGAACACCAGCAGCCCAAUUUCUGCCUGGAACAGCAGGAGGCACAUGCUGAAGCUGUUAGCCUCAGCUCAGCAAGACACGUGCCAGGCAGAUGCCAGCUUCCAUAACCUGCUUUUUGCUGUUCACUUGCCUUCAGUGGUUAUCAGCAAUCACGGACAGGUAAACAGGUGACUUCAUCAUAGCCACAGAAAUUUCAAGAACUUCCGUGAACUUUUGCUAUUGGUAAAAAGUGGAUUCUUUCCAUCCACACCACUGUCAUGACAUCACAUGAAAAAUGACCUCUCAGUUCCAGGAACAGCAGCACCACCGAGGGCCUCGCUGAGGCUGCAGCACACACCCUGCUUGCUUGAGGCAGCCCUUGCUGUGUUUCAGUGCGAGGCAGAGCUCAGUGCUGUGUGCGACCAGCCCCUGUGUACGCACAGGAUCACACAGUGGGGAUGGGGCAGGAGCUGCACCAGAAGGCAGCUGUCCCAAGGGCCUGGCUGCACUAACACAGCAUAGUAUAUAGACUCUGCUUUGUGAGCUAGCACUUGGAGUGCCACAGACUUUUAUACACACUGAUCUCAUAGAUAGUACUGUUAGUUUAGGGCAGUAUGAGAGCAGGGAAACUCUCCUGUUACUUACAUGACACCAUAUGCUGCAGGUCUGGUUCUUGUCUUAUUCAUUCCAAUGAAAGACAGAGGUAACUGCAAGAUACAAGAAACGUUAAUAUAAAAUCGGGUUCAGCCCUUAUUUAAGAGUGUUAAAGCCAUGCCAGGUAAUGCAUUUAUGUUUUAAAGAUGCUCUGAUCCUUCAAGCUGCUGCGGGAAUGACAGCCAUUGCUCACAUCUCCCACCCAGCACACAGGUCUGCCUGCAGCUUGCAGGGUAGAGUCCUUCAAAUACAUGCAGAAAGCCUUAAGUUAUAUAAAAAUGAAGUAUACUGAGUUUUACUUACAUGGAAUAAAUUCUUCCUCUGGAACGUCAAGCUUGGUUUCUGUUUGGUCAAUUAAUUUACUCUAAACAAAUGCCAUGUCUAUAAAAUUUCUAAGUAAUUUGUUUUAUACAGAAAUUUAACUUGCUCCAGGCACAUUUUUCUCCUGCACUGGGUAUCUUAACUCCAGCUGCAAUGUAAACUUGCCUGCAAUUUUCUGUCUCCUAUGGCUGCAGAUCCGUGAGCUCACAGCUGCCCGUGCUCCAUCAUGUUGGGGAAUUAUUGCUGAGCACUGGUUUCAUUCAUUCAAGAAACCUGCCCCUCACUGCAGGCACUGAUCCAGGGCCGGGUGCAAGAAGCUCAUCUUCCCUCCUAACAGGCACAGAGAUCACCAGCCAAGCAACGUUGCUUUCUAUGAUUUUGCUCUCAACUUGCCAACCCUGUAAUUGUAACCCUAUAUAUACGGUCCCUCCCACCUCAGCAGUUCUGCUCACUUAGUCUCCUCCAUUGUGUGUGUGCAGGUAUUUUAUGUGAGACUUAAUUAUUCUUGCUCCUAUCAGCCAAGACAAGCAUGCAUGACAUUAACUCCCUCGUGGGACACAAAAUGGUGCACGCUUCCAGACCAUCUACGUACAGAAAUGGAUAAAGGCUGUAGGAUCUUCUUACAUUAAAAGCAAAUUAAGCAGAGGUGGUUUACUAAGAGGCUUCACUGAGUACUCAGCUCAGUUCUGAGUAUGCCAGAUGAGGAAAUGGGGGAAAAAAAAAAAAAAGAUAAUUACUAUGGGAAGAUUCUCAUGUGAGCAGAAUUUGAAAAUAAUGAGAUUACGUCAUUGUUUCUGACUAUUCUUACAGCGUGUAAUAUAUAAACUAAAAGAGGAGAGAUUUAGACUGGAUAUAAAGGAAGAAGCACGGGGUGCCCAGAGGUGAAGUGGAUGCCCCAUCCUUGGAGCACUCAAGGUGAGGCUGGAUGGGGCUCUGAGCACCUGAUUAGUGCUGGCAUCCCCGUUCAGUGCAGGGAGUUGGAAGAGAUGACCUCUAAAGGUCCCUGCCAACAUAAAUGAUUCUAUGAUUCCUUAUCUGACCCAGGCUCAGCCAAUUUACCAGAGGGCUACAGCCACAAAGCCCACACAGCCAGCACCUGCACUUCCCCUUUCCAAGGGAUUCAAAAACACCGAACAGGCAAAUUUAAAAUAAGAAACGUGCAGAUGUGCUGUUUUAAUCCUGGGUUUGCUUUCCUCUGUCAUCACUGACAGCCAGGUCAAGGGGAAAGUUUCCCUGACAGAGGUUUGUUGGCUGGGCUCCACCGCAGUGCUGCGUGCAGUGCAGGCUGCCCAUAGGGCAAUGGAGCAACAAAUGUGAUGCAGUCGAGCAGUCGCUACGUGCCUUGGCCCAGCCCUCCAGGAGGGAAAGCAGGAGGGACUCGCUGACCUCUCAGAGGACAAAAGGAGCAAGAGAAAGGAUCGCUUUGUUAUGCCUGAAUCCUUACUAUGCUUCUGCCUCCCAGGAGCCCGUCUGUGUGCUGAGAUGGGCAGAACUUUGUUGGGUGGAAGGAUGCAGUGUGGGCAACGGAGGGAGCCAGGACGGAGCAACCAGAGCCUGUAAGUCAGGGGCGACACACUGAUGGAUAAAAACUACCAGAUGGAGCCCAAGGAGCACAGCUCCACCGUUCAUCUUAAGGAUACAGCAGUCUGAAUUUCAGUUGGGCAGUGAGAUACUCCUGGGCCUGCAGAGCUCCCUGUGUGAAACACCUGGGCCACGGUUUGAAUCGGUCACAGUGCCACGUCCAGCAGCCGUACGCUGUACUCAGCCCUGUGUGGGGUACAGCAUAACUGCAGGCCAUCCCUGGGACGGCGCUCAUCAGUAACUGCUGGCUGCUCCCAGAGGCAUGGAUCAAUUGGCAGAUAUUAUAAUCCCUUAAAAUAUUAAUGCCCUAUCAGGGAGACAAUUUCACUGGGCCUGGAGACUCUUCCGUUAUUAGAAAUUAUGCCCCAGCCUUAAAUAAAUUAACUCAAUAAAUGUCUUAGCAUGAAUACAAAUUCCUGCUUAGGGCCUGCAAAUAAAAUGAUUUAGAGCUGUUCUCCGAGGAAAGAUGAGGUGCUUAAACUUGCAAAAGAAGAAGAGCCACCACAUUCAUUGGUCUUUUGUUCUAAAUUGACUUCUCCUAAACUGACGGCAUUCCUUUCAGAAGGGAGGGCGAAGGUUUGGGAAAAUUAAGUGGUGACAUUUUCUUACGCUGUGCUUCAUGGCUUCGGUGCUGAAGUGCACAGAUGUGCUCCCAGCUCCAAUGGCAGCCCUGGCACUCAGGAUCCAUCCGUGUCCCCAGGGCUGGAGGGAAGCUCACCACCCACCCUUGGGCAGUGUGUGCCCACAGCUGGGAGGACCUGCCUGGUGCAGUAGCUCUGUGCAAGCCUCAGCCUGCAGCCCUCAACAGCCACAGUUCAUGGGGUGCCCACUAACAACCUCUGCAGUUAAUGAAGCCUCAGCAGGUGGUUGCAGUUUCAACAAGUGAUGAGGCAUAUCCAGGCCCAUUCAUCAUCCCAGGCCUCCCGUCAAAGCGUUUGCCCUCUUCAUAUUGAUGAAUUGAAUGUGGCAACGUGAAAGCCACGCUGUCACAUUUCAUUAGAGCUAUACUUUGCACCCAGUAGUUCAAGACUACUUCUACAGCUCUGCACUUUUACCAGUUUGAGUGUGAGAUCACCAGCAGCAGAGGAGCACCUUGGCUGGCCCUGAGACACGCUCACAUCACCUGCAUUUCUGGCUGUGGACUUUCAUAGAAGCUUCAUUCACAAACACACUGCCAUUCCUCUCCAUAAACAUACUCUAUAAACACACCCCUUCAGAAGCUGAUUUUCUCAAGUGAGCACUGCCUGCUUUGCUCUAUUGGCACUGCAGUCCUGGGCAGCUCAUCCACGAUGCCAGGAGAUGCACACUGGGUUGUCUGCCUCCUGCCUGCUGCUGGAUGUCACUGCCCACCUGUGACACGCAGAGAGCCUGCAGCAGGAAGGCAGAGCUGCACUGCACUACAGUAGGAGACCAUCACAGCAACGCUUCCCAAAAGGCAAUGCCUGAGCUCAGGAUCCAGUGUACACACCACAUCCUAAGACAAGGCAGUGAAUGGAUGCAACCUGCAGAUAACAAUCUCCAGGUUUAUCUCCUCUGCAAUAUUUCUGUCUGUGCACUGGUAUCAGUUUGAUGAGACUCUGGUUUUUAAUAACCAAAGCAUUGUUGUUUCCUGGUUAAGAGCUCAUGUGGCAGCUCCUUGGUCCUGGCUUAACAAGAGUGGAGCACCUUUUGUAGAUGGAUGCAUUAUUUCCAUUUCUUACUUUUCAAUUCAUACAUAGUAAAAAUACAAGAAAACCUCAGUCCUCUGCUGCAAGACACACAAUAAAGAUGCAAGUCUAGAUGAAAAAAUAGCCACAUUCCACUUGACUGAAUCAAAAGAUUUGUGAAAGAGACCACAGGUUCAACUUCCUCUUGUCUCAGAUAAAGACAAAUUCCAUCAGAAGCCAACCUCAGAGCCACUUCACAUACAGGAAACUCUAUAAGAGGAUCAAAGAGAUCACCUUGGCAGCAGCUUUCUCCUGAGUGUUCCCUCUUCACUGCAUUGACUUUACAUCUGUACCUGUUGCACUCCCACCCGAUGCAGCGCUGUGGUGCUGUGCUGGUGGUAGAACCACUCCCCAGCAGCAGAACGUGCUGCAGCUUCUACCUGCAGCAUCUGAAAUUGCUUCUUAGCACACUCGAUGCUUUGGAUAAAUGCAACCCAUGCUUAGUGAAGUGAGAAACUGAGAAAAAGGGAAGCGUGUGGGCAGGGAGAGGCAUGCAGACUAUUCCCUCCCUCACCAAGUGCCCCUCACCCAGCACUGGAUGCCCACUGCUGUACCUGUGCUACCACGGAGCCCUCAAGCACCCACCAGCAUCCAUAGACACCACCAAGUCCCACAAGUUGCUCCCAGAUCAGAAGCCUCUGUGAGCCUUUCCCUGAGAAGCUGCAGCUGCCUCCAGUGUGGGAUGUGCCAUGUGGCAGCCCACGUGGGAUACCACCAAGGAACAGCGCUGGAUGUGGUUUGGAAUGCUUUUGAACAGCAUAAAGGAACAAAGCCUUGUUCUCUUCCACGGUGGGAGUUUUAAGAUGAAACCAGAAUGCCAAAAUACUUGGAUGAACGCAUUAAAUGAACACACAGAUGAUUUGUGCUUCCUCCCUCCAAACAUGGCUGCACUCAGCAGCAGGACUCCCCCUGCAGCAGGAACACAGCACCUCAGAGCCAAGGUGAGAUCUUUUUGUACUUAAUUUCAUCCCUGUUAAAGAGAGCUGAUAUGCACAAAUCUGGUGCUUUGCUGCUGGUUAUAAUACUCUCUGUAUUAUUAUUUUCACCAUUCAAAAACGAUAAUUCUUCCUCUAGGUUACUUUUGAGCAGAGGAAUUCUGGAUAAUGGAAGAUGUUAGAUCCCCAUAAUCCAUGUGCAAUAUGAAGGCAGCAAUGUGUGCUACCAGCAGACAAGUAGAAGAGCUAAUACACAGAAUCAUGGAAUGGC
Long non-coding RNA from Centrocercus urophasianus (Greater sage-grouse), 12335 nucleotides. RefSeq lists it as uncharacterized. Lineage: Eukaryota; Metazoa; Chordata; Aves; Galliformes; Phasianidae. The transcript has 6 exons. The record is from RefSeq and is a predicted model, not a curated record.